AAUGAACGUUGGCGGCGUGGAUUAGGCAUGCAAGUCGCGCGACAAGGAACCUUCGGGUUCUGGAGGAGCGGCAAACGGGGUAGUAAGGCAUCGGAACGUACCCUCUUGUUGGGAAUAGCCGCGGGAAACUGCGAGUAAUGCCCAAUAAUCCCUACGGGGCAAAGGUCCGCCGCAGGAGGAGCGGCCGAUGUGAUACCAGCUAGUUGGUGAGGUAAUGGCUCACCAAGGCUUAGACGUCUAGGGGGUGUGAGAGCAUGGCCCCCCACCACUGGGACGUGAGAUACUGCCCACGACACCUACGGGUGGCUGCAGUCGAGAAUCUUCGGCAAUGGGCGCAAGCCUGACCGAGCAACGCCGCGUGCGGGAGUGAAGG
Molecule: ribosomal RNA, 373 nt
Filed under: uncultured bacterium
Lineage: Bacteria
Description: bacterial SSU rRNA
Rfam family: Bacterial small subunit ribosomal RNA
Source: RNAcentral